RNAcentral lists this ribosomal RNA (692 nucleotides) under uncultured bacterium. RNAcentral describes it as "bacterial SSU rRNA". It matches the Rfam family "Bacterial small subunit ribosomal RNA", at positions 102 to 789 of the family's 1533-position model. The record is from RNAcentral.
ACGGGUGAGUAACGCGUAUGUAACCUGCCUGGUAGCGGGGGAUAACUAUUGGAAACGAUAGCUAAUACCGCACGACAUUGCUUGACACAUGUUAUUUAUUUGAAAGAUGCAAGUGCUCUACAACUAAAUGGACCUGCGUUGUAUUGGCUACGAGGUGAGGUAACGGCUCACCAGGGGCCGGAUCCAUAGCGCAACUGGCAGGGUGAGGGCUGACCUGGGGAACGAACACGGCCCCAGACUCCUCCGGGAGGAAACUUAAGGAAUCCUCCGGAAUGGAGGGAAAUCUUGACCAACCACCCCCGCGGGAUGAAAAAAGGUUUUCGAAUCGUAACGUUUGGUUGUAAAUAAAAAACGAGUGUAAAAGGGAAAAGUCACACUGUUACGGGUCUUAUAACACAUAGACACGGCUAUAUACGUCACCCCCCGCGCGAUUACUCGCUGCCCCGAGCGUUGUCCAUUUUUUUUGAGCGUUGAGCGAGCAUUAUUGUAUUAUAGCUCGGAAAAAGGCUGCUGUUGAUCAAUCAUAGUUUCGGAAAAUUUGCCUUCUAUGCUAUAGAAGGGAAUAGUGGAAAUGUUGUCGAUGAAAGGGGAAGUAUAUGUAUGGAGAACCACUGGGGAAGAAACUCUCUGUCUGGUCUGUGACUGAGACUGAGGCUCGGAAGCGAGCGGACGGGACAGGAUUCAAUGCCCCU